This 601-nucleotide ribosomal RNA is filed under the name Colletotrichum gloeosporioides. Its description in RNAcentral is "eukaryotic LSU rRNA". The stretch from base 229 to 382 matches the Rfam family "5.8S ribosomal RNA". The record is from RNAcentral. Lineage: Eukaryota; Fungi; Ascomycota; Sordariomycetes; Glomerellales; Glomerellaceae.
GGGGAAGUAAAAGUCGUAACAAGGUCUCCGUUGGUGAACCAGCGGAGGGAUCAUUACUGAGUUUACGCUCUAUAACCCUUUGUGAACAUACCUAUAACUGUUGCUUCGGCGGGUAGGGUCUCCGCGACCCUCCCGGCCUCCCGCCUCCGGGCGGGUCGGCGCCCGCCGGAGGAUAACCAAACUCUGAUUUAACGACGUUUCUUCUGAGUGGUACAAGCAAAUAAUCAAAACUUUUAACAACGGAUCUCUUGGUUCUGGCAUCGAUGAAGAACGCAGCGAAAUGCGAUAAGUAAUGUGAAUUGCAGAAUUCAGUGAAUCAUCGAAUCUUUGAACGCACAUUGCGCCCGCCAGCAUUCUGGCGGGCAUGCCUGUUCGAGCGUCAUUUCAACCCUCAAGCCCUGCUUGGUGUUGGGGCCCUACAGCUGAUGUAGGCCCUCAAAGGUAGUGGCGGACCCUCCCGGAGCCUCCUUUGCGUAGUAACUUUACGUCUCGCACUGGGAUCCGGAGGGACUCUUGCCGUAAAACCCCCCAAUUUUCCAAAGGUUGACCUCGGAUCAGGUAGGAAUACCCGCUGAACUUAAGCAUAUCAAUAAGCGGAGGA